CUCAGUUCGGAUUGAGCUGNAACCCGACUCCAUGAAGCUGGAUUCGCUAGUAAUCGCGCAUCAGCCACGGCGCGGUGAAUACGUUCCCGGGCCUUGUACACACCGCCCGUCAAGCCAUGGAAGCCGGGAGUGCCUGAAGUGCGUGACCGCAAGGAGCGUCCUGAGGCAAUACCGGUGACUGGGGCUAAGUCGUAACAAGGUACC
This 204-nucleotide ribosomal RNA is filed under the name uncultured bacterium. RNAcentral's name for it is "partial 16S ribosomal RNA". It matches the Rfam family "Bacterial small subunit ribosomal RNA", at positions 1287 to 1500 of the family's 1533-position model. The record is from RNAcentral.